GACGAACGCUGGCGGCGUGGAUUAGGCAUGCAAGUCGAACGGUAGAUAUCCUUCGGGGUAUUGAGAGUGGCGAACGGGUGAGUAACACGUAGGUAAUCUACCCUCAAAUCGGGGACAACCCAGGGAAACUUGGGCUAAUACCGGAUGAGUGCAGCACCUAAAUCAUCCAUACGGAAUCUGGUUAAGAUUGGGUUUUGUAUGGUUGGGUGAUUUAGGUGCUGUAUAAAAGAUGGCUUCGGCUGUCGUUUGAGGAUGAGCCUGCGCUCUAUUAGUUAGUUGGUGAGGUAAUGGCUCACCAAGGCGACGAUGCGUAGCCGACCUGAGAGGGUGAUCGGCCACAUUGGAACUGAGACACGGUCCAGACUCCUACGGGAGGCAGCAGUGGGGAAUAUUGCACAAUGGGCGAAAGCCUGAUGCAGCAACGCCGCGUGAGUGAAGAAGG
This 442-nucleotide ribosomal RNA is filed under the name uncultured bacterium. Its description in RNAcentral is "bacterial SSU rRNA". It matches the Rfam family "Bacterial small subunit ribosomal RNA", at positions 28 to 414 of the family's 1533-position model. The record is from RNAcentral.